UGCAGUAGGGAAUACACAACAGCAGCAAUGCAAUCAAGGGCCUGUCACCUCUGUGACUUUGACCUGAGAAUGCAUAUGGUAGCUGAACUUCUAAUCAAAUAUUUACAAGCACAAAAACAACAUGUAUCCACUCAGAUGUGAGGCACGCCUUCUGCGUUGCUCUCAGUUACAAAAACUCCUCCAGUAUGUCUGUUUCAGUUGAAUUGAAUGAUACAGUUGCGAUCCAGAGAAGUACUUUAACUAGAAAAUAGAUUGUUUCUUCUUUUUCUUUGUUAUAAAUGUAGUAGUACAACAGCUAGGGAUAGUGAAAUUGCCCAUCGAACAGCAGCAAAACCUGUAGAUGAAUAAGAUGGUGAUUGUGAUGGUAACAGUGAAACUGGUGGCAGUGCAUCCGAAUGUGCUUCUCCUGAUUUUGGCUUUGAUGGAGGCUGGACAUGGGCAAAAACAACAUUUGGCAAAGGACUAGAUGCAGGAACUGUUUGGGAGAUUGGCGCAGGUGUUGGUGACACUGCAGGGUGAUUGAUGUGAGGUUCUGGCGAGGGAGAAGGAAAGUGAGGAGCAAUAUUUGGUGAAACCAUAGGGGUUAUGUAAGAUCGCUUUCUGCCAUUCCCUGGAAACCUCCUAUUACGCCCAAGUUGGCAAUCAGGAGGCUUUGCUUUACUAUUCUGAGGAGCAGGUGGAUUUUUCGGUGGGCCAGGCAAAUGUUCAAAGGGUGCAGGGGAACCUUUCUGAGUGGCAGGGGCAGGCGGAAAUA
This 754-nucleotide unclassified non-coding RNA is filed under the name Hevea brasiliensis (rubber tree). The record is from RNAcentral. Lineage: Eukaryota; Viridiplantae; Streptophyta; Magnoliopsida; Malpighiales; Euphorbiaceae.